UUUAAUAGCACCUUGUGUUGUUGGUGAUAUCCCAAGGAACUACUGCAGCCACAACAAGUGAACCAGGCAGCCUGCUGCCUGCCAUCAGCACUGCUGUUUCACUGGAGACAUCAUUCCUAAAUAGAGACCCCAAAAGCAAGCUAAAUAGCCAAGGCUGCCUCACACAGGGAUUACCUCUAAAGAGUUGCUGAACAACAGCAGCUCUGCUCUGUUCUCAGCACCUGCAAAAGGCAUUAGCAGGCAUCACAACUAGCACAGCGAACAGGCACGGAGAGGUGCAGAACAACUGGCUGCUGCAGACAUGGAUUAUUAACAAACACAGGCUUUCCAAGGUUGCUGAGCACCCCUGGCAUAUUUUGAUAAGAGAGCAGAAAGGCAGCCACUUCUUUUCAUGAUUCCUUGCAGGGGAGCCAGCCUCAUGCUGGCACAGCCAUAGCAACCCAGACAACAACAGAGCAUCAAGGCAGAUGAAAUCACAGAGACAAAAAUGCAGAAACCACCCGAGUGAAGCAUUUUCAUUAGUGACUGCCCUGCACCAGAAAGCAGCACCUGAGCUCCUUCCCCUAGAAAUACUUAGUUGGAGCUGAGUGUGAAUCAGGACUUUGUGCCUUGAGUCCAUGCUACUUCUCACGUAACAUUAACUUGUAAGCCAAGUGUUGUGAUCACACAGGGAAGAGAAGACAAGACUCAACUUCCGGCUCUCAGGGUGACAACCACCACCUCCAAAUAGCUCUGGCACACAGCUAUUUAUUGUAAUGCACAUGGGGAGCUCCCCUUCACAAGAGGCCCUGGUAACUGGAAUGAUAACAAAAGCCCAUUAUGAGAAGGUGAAGACACUAGCUGCUAGCAGAUGCCAAGUUGCUAAUGUCCCCACGAAGAUGAAAUCAGAGCCAGGGCUUAACCAGCUAAUAGCCUCAGCAGAUGCCAUGGGCCUGGCUCUCUUGGAGCAACAGGAGGGGAAGAACCAGCAGCCACAGCUCUGCCUCAAUGACAGAAGCUUUUGUGUGGCAGCAAGGCUGUCCAGGCAGCUUUACAUCCACCCAGAGCCCUUUGGCAAAAUCAAAUGCACUUCAUAUACGACUUUGAGUAACCAAGAGUAUCAAGCAAGUGUUCCAGACCGGUUCUUCUAGAGCACCCAAGCCCUGGCCAUCCAUCUAUUACAUUUUUUCAAAGUUCUUCAGAUGGGAAUGGAAAGCUAGAUCCCAAGACUGUAAAAUAAACUUCCACCAGGAAAGGUGUUCUGUGAAUUGCUCUUUUAACAAACAGGGAAAGGAUUUAAAAGCCAAAGAGAAACACAACAGUGAAGACAGCCCUGACAGAAACCUGCCUGAUAAUUCCUGCCUGUAUUUCAACAUCCCCUCAGCCACAGCACAUAAUACAAGCAUUCUCUUAUGAGCAGACUCAGUCAAUAUUAA
Passer domesticus (house sparrow) is the source of this 1415-nucleotide long non-coding RNA. RefSeq lists it as uncharacterized. The transcript has 3 exons. The record is from RefSeq and is a predicted model, not a curated record. NCBI's taxonomy places the organism in Eukaryota, Metazoa, Chordata, Aves, Passeriformes, Passeridae.